This is a non-coding RNA of Nitrospirae bacterium GWC2_57_13, 151 nucleotides long. NCBI's taxonomy places the organism in Bacteria, Pseudomonadati, Nitrospirota. The record is from Rfam.
GAAAGCCGUGUGCGGGAAAACCGCAUGCACGGUUUGAUGAGGGAGGGCUGGCCAAGGCGGCAAUGGUUUGGCUAUUUAGGCACCGUCAGACGAAAGGGACGGGAACAGACAAGCAGAGCCUAAAGCGGCAGCAACCAGUUCCCUACUCUAC